Molecule: ribosomal RNA, 280 nt
Filed under: Propeamussium investigatoris
Lineage: Eukaryota; Metazoa; Mollusca; Bivalvia; Pectinida; Propeamussiidae
Description: partial 12S ribosomal RNA
Source: RNAcentral
UUAUUCCGGUGAAAAUUUUGUUUUGCUAACUACUUGAGGACUACGAUUACUUAAAACUCAAGGGACAUGGCGGCUAGUCAACUAAUUAGGGGAACAUUUGUCUUAAUACGAAAGUGCGCGAUUUAUUAGACCAUAUCUUGAACAGCUAGUGUAUUGCCGUUGUCAACUAAUGAUGAGAUUGAUUGCCCUAUGAAUUCAGGUCAAAGUGCUGCUUAUGGUAUGGGGAUUAGGUGUUACACGAUACGGAGAGAAUAUUUAUUACUUGUGAAAUGUAAGGGAA